ACGAACGCUGGCGGCGUGCUUAACACAUGCCAGUCGAACGGAAAGGCCCUGCUUUUGUGGGGUGCUCGAGUGGCGAACGGGUGAGUAACACGUGAGUAACCUGCCCUUGACUUUGGGAUAACUUCAGGAAACUGGGGCUAAUACCGGAUAGGAGCUCCUGCUGCCUGGUGGGGGUUGGAAAGUUUCGGCGGUUGGGGAUGGACUCGCGGCUUAUCAGCUUGUUGGUGGGGUAGUGGCUUACCAAGGCUUUGACGGGUAGCCGGCCUGAGAGGGUGACCGGCCACAUUGGGACUGAGAUACGGCCCAGACUCCUACGGGAGGCAGCAGUGGGGAAUAUUGCACAAUGGGCGGAAGCCUGAUGCAGCAACGCCGCGUGCGGGAUGACGGCCUUCGGGCUGUAAACCGCUUUCGCCUGUGACGAAGCGUGAGUGACGGUAAUGGGUAAAGAAGCACCGGCUAACUACGUG
This 467-nucleotide ribosomal RNA is filed under the name uncultured bacterium. RNAcentral describes it as "partial 16S ribosomal RNA". It matches the Rfam family "Bacterial small subunit ribosomal RNA", at positions 29 to 507 of the family's 1533-position model. The record is from RNAcentral.